ACGGGAGGCAGCAGUGAGGAAUAUUAGGCAAUGGGGGGAACCCUGACCUAGCAACGCCGCGUGAAGGAAGACGGUCUUCGGAUUGUAAACUUCUUUGAUCAGGGACGAAGAAAGUGACGGUACCUGAUGAAUAAGCCACGGCUAACUACGUGCCAGCAGCCGCGGUAAUACGUAGGUGGCAAGCGUUAUCCGGACUUACUGGGUGUAAAGGGCGCGUAGGCGGGGAUGCAAGUCAGAUGUGAAAUCCAUGGGCUUAACUCAUGAACUGCAUUUGAAACUGUAUCUCUUGAGUGUCGGAGAGGUAGAUGGAAUUCCUAGUGUAGCGGUGAAAUGCGUAGAUAUUAGGAGGAACACCAGUGGCGAAGGCGAUCUACUGGACGAUAACUGACGCUGAGGCGCGAAAGCGUGGGGAGCAAACAGGAUUAGAUACCCUGGUA
Molecule: ribosomal RNA, 437 nt
Rfam family: Bacterial small subunit ribosomal RNA